RNAcentral lists this long non-coding RNA (833 nucleotides) under Mytilus galloprovincialis (Mediterranean mussel). The record is from RNAcentral. Lineage: Eukaryota; Metazoa; Mollusca; Bivalvia; Mytilida; Mytilidae.
UGGGUUUUUCAAUAUAUAUGUGUUGUCAGCAAAUACCUGCACUGGAAAAUAACAUUAAGUCAGGGGUAAUCCGUAAUAUAUGUGUAAUUCAGGUCUCAGAAAGGGUAUAUACUAUGACAUUCCCGGCUUAGGGCUUAUAUCCCCUUUGCCUUCGACUCAGGGGAUAUAAACUCUAAGCCGGGAAUGUCACAGUAUAUACCCUGUCUGAGACCUGAAUAACAUAUAAUAUUAUCAUUGGUCUUGUCAUAUAUUACUAUAUAUAUUAUCAAUGUAGAAAUCACAGAUUUCAAUAAAUCUUUCAUAGCAAAUUUUUUUUUACUAAACCACCCUUUUGAAAAGAUACUCGAACCGUAAAUUUUUCUACACAUCGUAUUUCUACUAACAAAGAAUAAAACACCUCAUUCCAAAACCAAAUACAGCUUACAGGAUUCAUACAAAUAAUGAUAUGAAUCGUGUAUGCCCAUAUAUGAGAAUGUUUACAAAGUAGAAAUUUAUAAUUCUUAUAUGAUUUGCAUAUCUAUAAAUACUUGAAUUGGAUUGGUCAAUUAGAAUUUUUCUCUCAGUUUACACUUCGAUAAACCAUGUUUCCGAAACUACUUUUGUAAUCUAUUCAUGCGCGAUACACAAGCUUGCAGUGAUCCCGGGAUUUUCAGCAAAUUGAGAUUUAAAAACAAUUGCAUAACAGUUGUGACUAUUCUAGUGCAUAUAUAACAAAAAAAGAAAUAAUUUUAAUGCACUAAAGCUUCGUAAAUGUAUAAAAAUAAAAUUUAAUAAAAUUCCGCGAAAUUUAAUGAAGGAUUUGGCAGAUUUACGUCAUGACAAAACACGACGUC